Molecule: ribosomal RNA, 477 nt
Filed under: uncultured bacterium
Lineage: Bacteria
Description: partial 16S ribosomal RNA
Rfam family: Bacterial small subunit ribosomal RNA
Source: RNAcentral
GAUGAACGCUGGCGGCGUGCCUAACACAUGCAAGUCGAACGAAGCGCCUUACCGGAUUCUUCGGCUGAAGGUCUGGUGACUGAGUGGCGGACGGGUGAGUAACGCGUGGGUAACCUGCCCUGUACAGGGGGAUAACAGCUGGAAACGGCUGCUAAUACCGCAUAAGCGCACGAGGAGACAUCUCCUUGUGUGAAAAACUCCGGUGGUACAGGAUGGGCCCGCGUCUGAUUAGCUGGUUGGCAGGGUAACGGCCUACCAAGGCAACGAUCAGUAGCCGGUCUGAGAGGAUGAACGGCCACAUUGGAACUGAGACACGGUCCAAACUCCUACGGGAGGCAGCAGUGGGGAAUAUUGCACAAUGGGGGAAACCCUGAUGCAGCAACGCCGCGUGAGUGAAGAAGUAUUUCGGUAUGUAAAGCUCUAUCAGCAGGGAAGAUAAUGACGGUACCUGACUAAGAAGCUCCGGCUAAAUACGUG